UACGUAGGGUGCGAGCGUUGUCCGGAAUUAUUGGGCGUAAAGAGCUCGUAGGCGGUGUGUCACGUCGGCCGUGAAAACCUGCAGCUUAACUGUGGGCGUGCGGUCGAUACGGGCAUCACUGGAGUUCGGCAGGGGAGACUGGAAUUCCUGGUGUAGCGGUGAAAUGCGUAGAUAUCGGGAGGAACACCGGUGGCGAAGGCGGGUCUCUGGGCAUUUCCUGACGCUGAGGCGCGAAAGCGUGGGGAGCAAACGGG
RNAcentral lists this ribosomal RNA (254 nucleotides) under uncultured bacterium. RNAcentral's name for it is "partial 16S ribosomal RNA". It matches the Rfam family "Bacterial small subunit ribosomal RNA", at positions 524 to 776 of the family's 1533-position model. The record is from RNAcentral.